RNAcentral lists this transfer RNA (84 nucleotides) under Spirochaetia bacterium. RNAcentral's name for it is "tRNA-Leu". It matches the Rfam family "tRNA". From Rfam's summary of the family: Transfer RNA (tRNA) molecules are approximately 80 nucleotides in length. Lineage: Bacteria; Pseudomonadati; Spirochaetota; Spirochaetia. The record is from RNAcentral.
GCCCAGAUGGCGGAAUUGGUAGACGCGCUAGGUUCAGGUCCUAGUAAUCGAAAGAUUGUGCAAGUUCGAGUCUUGUUCUGGGCA